GGUUCUACGGUGUAGUGUUUUAGCAUUCUGAGCUUUGAAUCCAGUGACUGGUUCGACUCCAGGUAGAACCU
This is a non-coding RNA of Sphenostylis stenocarpa, 71 nucleotides long. The record is from the annotation of a GenBank genome assembly. NCBI's taxonomy places the organism in Eukaryota, Viridiplantae, Streptophyta, Magnoliopsida, Fabales, Fabaceae.